GAACGCCCUCUUCGGAGGGAGUGGCGCACGGGUGCGUAACGCGUGGGAAACUGCCCUAGGGUGCGGAAUAAUCCAGAGAAAUUUGGCCUAAUACCGCAUAAUGUCUUCGGACCAAAGAUUUAUCGCCCUUGGAUGUGCCCGCGUAAGAUUAGCUAGUUGGUGGGGUAAAGGCCUACCAAGGCAACGAUCUUUAGCUGGUCUGAGAGGAUGAUCAGCCACACUGGGACUGAGACACGGCCCAGACUCCUACGGGAGGCAGCAGUGGGGAAUAUUGGACAAUGGGCGAAAGCCUGAUCCAGCAAUGCCGCGUGAGUGAUGAAGGCCUUAGGGUUGUAAAGCUCUUUUGCCAGGGAUGAUAAUGACAGUACCUGGAGAAUAAGCUCCGGCUAACUCCGUGCCAGCAGCCGCGGUAAUACGGAGGGAGCUAGCGUUGUUCGGAAUUACUGGGCGUAAAGCGCGCGUAGGCGGCUUUGUAAGUCAGAGGUGAAAUCCCGGGGCUCAACCCCGGAACUGCCUUUGAAACUACAUCGCUAGAGUCUUGGAGAGGUGAGUGGAAUUCCGAGUGUAGAGGUGGAAUUCGUAGAUAUUCGGAAGAACACCAGUGGCGAAGGCGACUCACUGGACAAGUACUGACGCUGAGGUGCGAAAGCGUG
Molecule: ribosomal RNA, 653 nt
Filed under: Sphingomicrobium aestuariivivum
Lineage: Bacteria; Pseudomonadati; Pseudomonadota; Alphaproteobacteria; Sphingomonadales; Sphingomicrobiaceae
Description: bacterial SSU rRNA
Rfam family: Bacterial small subunit ribosomal RNA
Source: RNAcentral